AAAAAAAGAAAGAGAAAAAGAUCUGACACUUCCCUCUGUUCAUCCAUCUCUCCUUCUCCGUUCACCCACCUCCAUUCAUUUCCUUAACUUCUUUUUUUCUUUACUUCAAUGCUCUUUCUCUCUCUUAUAUGAGAGAAGAAAUUUCGUUUGGUUUUCUCAAAUCUACACACUAUUUCUCAAAAAUGGCGUUGGCGACUCAUCAUUUGCAGGUAAAUCAACGACGAUCCAUUUCCAAAUAAAUAUCGUUUCGCAGCUUGCUUUGUAAGGUAAACAUAGAAGUCUCCAUUUGACUUGGUGGACUUGAAGUCCAUAUUAUUUUUAUGUGGUGUACAAUUUUCCCUAUAUUAGUGGAAAAAGUUUCUACGAAUUGCCUCUACUCCGUGCAAAUUGUUUACUAGUUGGAUUCAGAAAUUUAUAAAUUAGGGUUUGUGUAUCCUUCGCAGGCGAACAAAUUUUGAAAAAGAGAAGUGUUCGAUUUUCUCAAAUGUACACACUAUUUCUGGCUUGUCUUUGCAUUGUUGCACAAAGAAUUUGAUUUUAUCCCCAAAUUUUUUUAUGUUCAUCUGGUAGGAAAUUCCACCCAAGACAAGAGGAGGAAGAGGGUAGAUUUUUUGGGGGGGGGGGGGGGGAAAAAAAGGGGGGGGGGGGGGGGUUUCUUUUUUUUNNNNNNNNNNNNNNNNNNNNNNNNNNNNNNNNNNNNNNNNNNNNNNNNNNNNNNNNNNNNNNNNNNNNNNNNNNNNNNNNNNNNNNNNNNNNNNNNNNNNNNNNNNNNNNNNNNNNNNNNNNNGGGGGGGGGGGGGGGAUAAAAAAGGGGAUGCGGGGGAGGACGAUAAUGGGAGAAAAGAAGACAGCGGUUAAGGGAAUUUUACUGGGAUGGGGAAGAGGGGGGGAAGAGGGUUUAUUUUCUUUCUUUUUAAUUUGUAUUUUUUUGUUCUUUAUAUUUUUUUAAUUAAAAUAAUUGUAGUCACGCGCGUAAUUUUCCCGACUUGCACACACUUUGUCCACAUUAUCUAUGUCACUACCACAUGUGCAUGGUCAGCGGUCAAAUAGAUUUAUUAGUUAUCGGAUACGAGAGUUUGAGUGUUCAAAUGUGAAUAAUAUAAGUUUGAAUAUCGAUUUUAAAAUCCGGUGCAAGUUUAAGUGGCCGGAAAGUCAUUUCGCCAUUAAUAUAUGUACACCUUAAAAGGAUUCUUUAUACAAAUAGCAAUUGAAUUUACUGUUCUUUAACCAGCAACAACUUCAAAUUCAGUUUAAUUGCACAAGUGAGGUCUAGAAACGGUAGUGUGUACACAGACAUUACCCUUACAUGAUAAAGAUAGAAAUGGUAGUGUGUACAUAUAUGUUUUUUAGCCAUCAUACAUGAAUUCUAUUGUACAUAUAUUAUACGUUCACUAGUUACUUUUAGUUUAAACGUAGAAUUGACAAUUAUUUAGGAUUUUAGGUUAAUUCUUCUACCUUAAAUAGUCCUAUUACAAAUAUUGUUUCGCUUUGUUCUUAUUUUAGACACUAGUCCAUAUUUGGAAAAGAUAUCGAACAUACAACUCAGUCUUUAUAAGAGAAAAGAAAAUGGAGAAGAACAAAAUAUUUAUCCGAUAUAAUUAAUUCCAUUUUUCUUUAUUUUGUUUGUUUGUUUAUCUAUUUUCCUCCUGAGUCGCCACAGUACAUAAGUUAUAUCUUUUGCGAUAAGCUUCAAAUGAAAAGCUAUAGCCUGACAUAUAUUUAUAGCCUUUUCAAAUCAUGGUUAUAGCAAUUACAAUAACACAAGGCAAAGAAAUUGCGCCAAAGAUGAUCUUACAUGUCCUGUUAGGUGUAGAAUCGAUGGAAAUAUUAUAUAUUAUUGCAUUCGUAUAUUCAAUUAUUUGGAAAAUUUAAGAAAUUCCACUAAUCUCCUUUGGAUAAUGCUAGUUUGCUAAGUUGAACGGAUUAAUUUCACUGAUGGUCACUCAGCUAUGUUUUAAUUUCAUUAAAGUCACUUAACUAUUUUUUGUCACUUAAAAGUAAAUAAACUUUCACAUUGUUACUUAAAAGUCAUUUUGGCUCAAAUCUCUACUAUUAAUAUGACAUGACAUAAAAUUUAAUGAGAAAAUCCAAAAAUAUAUGUCACGUAAACUUAAAUAGAUUAUACCCACUUUAGAUCUAUUUCUUCCUUAUUAUGAUUUGACCCGUAAUUCAAAUGUUUUCAAUAAAAAAAUAUUAAAUUUCACGUUAGAUUAAAAUGAUUAUCAUAUAAUACAAAAUUCUCGCAUUUUCUAUUACAAAAUGCUUUAUAAUUAUUCUAUGCUAAUUUUUUUUUAUCUUGUUUGUAUACCUCAUCCGAGUCGUUUCAUGUAUCUACUGAAGUUAAAAUAUGACUAUAUCCAACUCACAUAACAUAUUUAUAUUUUUUAGUAAAAUUAAAAUGGUAUUGUAUUAAUCUUACAUAACAUAUUAAUGUAUCAUAUGCAUACAAGAAUAAUAAUAAGGCUAAUAAGAGUCUUUGACUGAUGAUUUUAUUACUUUUAAAAAGCAACUGAUUUAUGUAUUCUUAAUUUUUGCAGCUCGCUGAAAAUGGUGUUGUCGUAAUAUCCAAUAUCAUAGUGUGUAGACGAUAAUAUGUGAGUAGCCUUCAAGCUUCAUCAUCUCUUCAAGCUAGUUUGAAAGACUCUACAAUUAGUUUCUUAUCAUGUGAAUUGCCCUUUUUUUUUGUGAACUUAGAGGAGCCGCUAUCAAUUCAGAUAACUUGAUGUUAUCUGCAUGGAUCUUAUUUCUUAUUCUUGAAAAUUCUCAUAUAUUUUUCUUGAUAUAUUUUGUGUCUUGCUAGUUUGUUUAUGUUAUAUUAUUGGUGAAAGAUAUAUCUAUAUAGGUUGUAAUUCGUACUCCGUAAAUUGUCUUACUUUGUUGGUAAACAAAUAUGUGGAGAAGUUAUAGUUUU
Molecule: long non-coding RNA, 2911 nt
Filed under: Nicotiana benthamiana
Lineage: Eukaryota; Viridiplantae; Streptophyta; Magnoliopsida; Solanales; Solanaceae
Description: long non-coding RNA (NBEN_LNC009676)
Source: RNAcentral